Molecule: RNA transcript, 2946 nt
Organism: Lates calcarifer (barramundi perch)
Lineage: Eukaryota; Metazoa; Chordata; Actinopteri; Centropomidae
Exons: 9
Source: RefSeq, a predicted model, not a curated record
ACCUGAAGUUUCUCUUUUUUUAAACAACAAAACAAAAUCUCUUUUACUUUAUUUCCCAGCUCUUCUUCAUCCAACAUGUUCAUUCCAGUUUCACAGUAUCUUUGUCAGGCUGCUGUGAGAUCUGAAUAAACCUGAUCAAGAAAUGAUCUACUGUUGUCCUCACUGUAAAUCACUGUAGAUAAGAUGGUCAGUGAAAUGCACUGAACAUAAACACAUUUUAAUAUGUACAAGAGAUGACAAGCUAAUACCUGACAAAAACAGCAAACACAGACUGAAGUCACCAUGAGGAAGUGACACGUCACUCAUCACAGGAAGUAGAGGCUGAAUUCAUCUUUAAGAAUAAACCACCUCACAGACUUUGACAGUUGAGAGUCUGAGAACAAGAGACUGACAAAGUAGGAGAGAGACAGAGAAACAUGAUGGCUGAAUUCACAUGGAUUCAAAUGUCUUUAUUUCUGAUCCUGGUGCUUCAGUUUACAGCAGCAAAUGGACAAAACCCUUCAGUCCUCAUUGUCAGAGUUGGAGAUGAAGUCACUUUACCUUGUGAAAAUGUGAGAGAUGAUCAGGAUCAAUGUGACAGAACUACCUGGAUCUUCACUGGUUCAGGAAGCAGAUCAACAGUAACUCUGUUUGAACUUGGGAAGAUUCACAGAGCAGCCAAAUCUAAAUCAGACAGACUGAGUCUCACAGAGAACUGUUCUCUGGUUAUAAAGAAGGUCACAGUUGAGGAUGCUGGUUAUUACGGCUGCAGACAGUUUGACAGAUCAGGACAACAACAAGGUCCAGAUGCUCUGGUUGAACUGUCUGUUGUUACCAUGACUGAACAUGAGGACGAUGAUAAGAUCAUCUUGACCUGCUCUGUGUUUCCAUAUGGAGACUGUAGAUACACAGUAGAGUGGCUGAAGGAUGAUUUCACAGUAAUGGAGACAUCACAUCAUUCCUGUUCAGCCUCUGUGAACAUUAAAACAUCUCACCUGAAUGAGAUUCAGAAUUACAAUGCAUUAAAGUGUAAAGUGACAGAUACAGACACUGGAAAAGCAGAGCAUUUUAUCUUCAGCCUUCAGACCUCAAAGGAGAAAACAGAUGAUCCAACAACAACAACAACUACUACUACUACUACUACUACUACUACUACUACUACUACUACUGGUGCUACUACUACUACUGCUGCUACUACUACUACAGCAACAACAACAACAGCCACAGCAGCAACCAUGAGAGAGAGAACAUCAGAAGGGACAAAUAAAAAAACCUCCACAAACGUUAACCCAACAAAACCACAAGGUGAGGAUGGAAGUGGAGUGAGAACAACAAUCAAACCAGGGACAUCAGGAGGAAAAAACAACACAACAUCUGCAAACAACAAUCCACAACCACAAGGUUGGUGGUGGUGGUGGCUCAUCGUUGUAGCUGGAGGUUUAGCAGCACUCAUAAUAUCUGUUGUUGUGUUCGUCAGAUGGAAGAAAACUAGAGGGAACCAAAGACAGACGGAUGGAAACAUGGUUCAGGGUGAUGAUGGUGAAGGUGGUGCAGUGACCUACAGCACUGUGAAAGCCUCCUCCUCUUCUGCUGGAGCCUCCAUUGAUCUCAGCAACCUCUAUGCUACCAUCAAGUAACCAAACAAAUAACAUGUUACUUAUUAAAUAUAGCAUUAUAUUUUUAUAACAACUGCAUGAUUGUUUAGCUCAUAGAUUUAAAAUGUUAAGAGUUAUGAUGAGGAUGAUCUUAAUAGUUUCUCAUAUUGUUUCUUUUCUUGGCUUAGUUUUGGUAAAAUGACAACACAGUUACAAAAUGUUAAAUCAAUACAUUAUAACUGGCUGAUAACUGAUGUCCAUUACAGUGGACACAGGCUCUGAAUCUUAUUCAAUGUUUAACAGUAUCAGCUGUAUGAGACAUGAAGUCAUUGAGAGAGUUGAGACGCCAUCUAGAGGUGAACAGUGUGAAAAAGGGGAACAGACAUGAUAUAAACUGUACUCUUCAUACUGUGUCCCCACAUUGGCACAAUGAGGAUUUUUAAAUCUGUUCAUGAAAUAUUUUACUCAUGUCCACAUUUUCUCUGAUUUAUUGUAAAUUAUUUACAGAAUGGUUUAACAUAUUUUAAGUAUGAAUCAUAUUUUUGUUUUUAGUGUUUUAAGUGUUUUUCCGUGUAUUGGUUUGUGGGAACUAAUGAAGGCCUUACAACGAUUGGCCUGAAGUCACAUGACCAUAAACCCAACCCAUCCUUAUAAGAGCCCCAUUGGCUGAUGUGUAUGUGGAUGCAUGUGAUUGGUUGUUUUUGAAUUUUUCUACUUUACAGCUUCCUUAUCUAAAUGUUAUCUGUAGUAUGUUAUUAGAAUGACUUUGAUGAAGGACACAAGCUGGAACAUGCUGGUCUGACAAUAAAGUUGUUCUAUAAACUACAAGUGUUGCUGGAGUUUUGACCUCUUUAAUGGGAACUAAUAGACAGACCAACCAAACCACAAGCUCACGUCACCACAGACGUAACUGCUCACUGAAGCCAUGGGGCCUCCAUUGAUCUGGUUUGUUCAGGCACAUCUCACAGAUUUGGAUUGGGAUCUGGGAAGUUUGGAGGUUGAUGCCUUGGAUUCUUUGUCGUGUUCUUUGAGCCAUUUCUGAGUCAUUUUUGUGGUGUGGAGGGAGCGUUGUCCUGCUGGAGGAGGCCACUGCCACAGAGAACUGCCUUUGCUUGUGACUGGUCUGCAACAAUGUUUAGGUAUGUGACACAUGGAAAAGGACCAAUUUUUCCCAGCAGAACAUUGUAUUGUAACAAGAUAAUCUAUGUUAUUUAAUUCACCUGUUAGUUGUUUUAAUGUUGUGGCUGAUCAGUGUUUGAUUCUGCAAAAAAGUACCAAAUCAUUUAACACAUCAACAUGAACUGACCUGCUACUACAGGUGUUCAAAAAUAGAAGUGUGGGAACCUGAUGCUUGGAAUUUAAAGAUAGUUCA